AAUCAACGCUGGCGGCGUGCCUCAGACAUGCAAGUCGAACGAUUAAAGCUCUCUUCGGAGAGUGCAUAAAGUGGCGCACGGGUGAGUAACACGUAAGUAAUCUACCUUCGAGUGGGGAAUAACGUCCGGAAACGGACGCUAAUACCGCAUAACGCAGCGGCAUCGCAAGAUGACAGUUGUUAAAGAUUUAUCGCUUGAAGAGGAGCUUGCGGCAGAUUAGCUUGUUGGUAAGGUAACGGCUUACCAAGGCUACGAUCUGUAUCCGGUCUAAGAGGACGGUCGGACACACUGACACUGAAUAACGGGUCAGACUCCUACGGGAGGCAGCAGUC
RNAcentral lists this ribosomal RNA (332 nucleotides) under uncultured bacterium. Its description in RNAcentral is "bacterial SSU rRNA". It matches the Rfam family "Bacterial small subunit ribosomal RNA", at positions 32 to 356 of the family's 1533-position model. The record is from RNAcentral.